RNAcentral lists this ribosomal RNA (113 nucleotides) under Streptococcus massiliensis. Lineage: Bacteria; Bacillati; Bacillota; Bacilli; Lactobacillales; Streptococcaceae. The record is from RNAcentral.
AGUGACGAUAGCCUAGGAGAUACACCUGUACCCAUGCCGAACACAGCAGUUAAGCCCUAGAACGCCGGAAGUAGUGGGGGUUGCCCCCUGUGAGAUAGGGGAGUCGCUUAGCU